UCGGGAAUAUUGCGCAAUGGAGGAAACUCUGACGCAGUGACGCCGCGUGCAGGAAGAAGGUUUUCGGAUUGUAAACUGCUUUAGACAGGGAAGAAAAAAGACAGUACCUGUAGAAUAAGCUCCGGCUAACUACGUGCC
RNAcentral lists this ribosomal RNA (138 nucleotides) under uncultured bacterium. RNAcentral describes it as "partial 16S ribosomal RNA". It matches the Rfam family "Bacterial small subunit ribosomal RNA", at positions 355 to 509 of the family's 1533-position model. The record is from RNAcentral.